RNAcentral lists this ribosomal RNA (252 nucleotides) under Clostridioides difficile. RNAcentral's name for it is "partial 23S ribosomal RNA". It matches the Rfam family "Bacterial large subunit ribosomal RNA", at positions 1339 to 1586 of the family's 2925-position model. The record is from RNAcentral. Lineage: Bacteria; Bacillati; Bacillota; Clostridia; Peptostreptococcales; Peptostreptococcaceae.
GUAAACCCAAGGUUUCCAGGGGAAGGUUCGUCCGCCCUGGGUUAGUCGGGACCUAAGCUGAGGCCGAAAGGCGUAGGUGAUGGACAACAGGUUGAUAUUCCUGUACUACCGAUAACCGUUUGAGGGAAGGGAUGACACAGUAGGAUAAGCUAAGCACACUGUUGGUUAUGUGUGCCCAAGCAUUGAGGCAGUCAAAGUAGGCAAAUCCGCUUUGAUAAUGCUGGGAUGUGAUGGGGAGCGAAAUUUAGUAGC